GACGAACGCUGGCGGCGUGCUUAACACAUGCAAGUCGAACGGAAAGGCCCUGCUUGCAGGGUGCUCGAGUGGCGAACGGGUGAGUAACACGUGGGUGAUCUGCCCCUUAUUUUGGGAUAAGCCUGGGAAACUGGGUCUAAUACUGGAUAGGACCAUGCUGUAGGUGGUGUGGUGGAAAGAUUAGUUUCGGUAAGGGAUGGGCUCGCGGCCUAUCAGCUUGUUGGUGGGGUAAUGGCCUACCAAGGCGUCGACGGGUAGCCGGCCUGAGAGGGUGGACUGCCACAUUGGGACUGAGAUACGGCCCAGACUCCUACGGGAGGCAGCAGUGGGGAAUAUUGCACAAUGGGCGCAAGCCUGAUGCAGCGACGCCGCGUGGGGGAUGACGGCCUUCGGGUUGUAAACUCCUUUCAGCCAUGACGAAGCCCUUGUGGUGACGGUAGUGGUAGAAGAAGCACCGGCUAACUACGUG
RNAcentral lists this ribosomal RNA (469 nucleotides) under uncultured bacterium. RNAcentral's name for it is "partial 16S ribosomal RNA". It matches the Rfam family "Bacterial small subunit ribosomal RNA", at positions 28 to 507 of the family's 1533-position model. The record is from RNAcentral.